This 108-nucleotide ribosomal RNA is filed under the name Caerostris darwini. The record is from RNAcentral. Lineage: Eukaryota; Metazoa; Arthropoda; Arachnida; Araneae; Araneidae.
GCCGUACCAUGCUGAAUAUACCGGUUCUCGUUAGAUCACCGAAGUUAAGCAUCAUUGGGCGCGGUCAGUACUUGGGUGGGUGACCACCUGGAAACACUGCGUGCCGUU